RNAcentral lists this ribosomal RNA (468 nucleotides) under uncultured bacterium. RNAcentral describes it as "partial 16S ribosomal RNA". It matches the Rfam family "Bacterial small subunit ribosomal RNA", at positions 28 to 507 of the family's 1533-position model. The record is from RNAcentral.
GACGAACGCUGGCGGCGUGCUUAACACAUGCAAGUCGAACGGAAAGGCCCUGCUUUUGUGGGGUGCUCGAGUGGCGAACGGGUGAGUAACACGUGGGUAACCUGCCCUUGACUUUGGGAUAACUUCAGGAAACUGGGGCUAAUACCGGAUAGGAGCUCCUGCUGCAUGGUGGGGGUUGGAAGGUUUCGGCGGUUGGGGAUGGACUCGCGGCUUAUCAGCUUGUUGGUGGGGUAGUGGCUUACCAAGGCUUUGACGGGUAGCCGGCCUGAGAGGGUGACCGGCCACAUUGGGACUGAGAUACGGCCCAGACUCCUACGGGAGGCAGCAGUGGGGAAUAUUGCACAAUGGGCGGAAGCCUGAUGCAGCAACGCCGCGUGCGGGAUGACGGCCUUCGGGUUGUAAACCGCUUUCGCCUGUGACGAAGCGUGAGUGACGGUAAUGGGUAAAGAAGCACCGGCUAACUACGUG